This is a long non-coding RNA of Metopolophium dirhodum (rose-grain aphid), 503 nucleotides long. RefSeq lists it as uncharacterized. The record is from RefSeq and is a predicted model, not a curated record. Lineage: Eukaryota; Metazoa; Arthropoda; Insecta; Hemiptera; Aphididae. The transcript has 3 exons.
UGCCUCGUGUUUGUUUCGUGCGUUCUAGAUUAGUUGUUGAUUGUUGUCGUUGAUGUUUGGUUUGAAUGUUUCACUGUUUCGGCGUUCCGUCAUUGUGUCUUGCAUUUGCGUAUAUACCUAGUGUUGUUUUUUGUAUCUACGUAUAACGUUUUCCGUUUAGUUUACGGAUUUAUUGUACUUCGCUAAACUACUGAACGUGUGUCAAUUUUCGUUGAUCGUACUUUCCGUUGAGGUUUCCACGUUCCGCCAUUGCGUCUUGCGUGAUAUAAGUAUAUAGUUAAGAUAAAAACCAUGUCAGAAUACUAGUGAAGAAGAUGUUAGAAUCAUGGAAUUAAGGUAAAACGAUUGAAAGAAUUUGGUGGUAUUAAUGUGUAUAUGGUGACCAAAUGCAUCAUGGACUUCUUGAUGACUGAUAAUUUAGGGAUGCAAAUAUCUAUGACAGGACGUGGAACGAAUAAUAGGAAAAAUGAAAAAAUGUCACUCAUUUCAUUAACAAUAUUUAA